Molecule: long non-coding RNA, 558 nt
Filed under: Aquilegia coerulea
Lineage: Eukaryota; Viridiplantae; Streptophyta; Magnoliopsida; Ranunculales; Ranunculaceae
Description: long non-coding RNA (ACOE_LNC001920)
Source: RNAcentral
UUUGGAUGAUACAAUAGCUCUUCAAUUAAGAAUUGGUGCAUAAGGUAAACAGCUUCUGAAUUGACGAAUCCCCAGUACAAUAGUUCUAUGGUAUUGCAAGCCUGUAGCACAACCAAAGUAAGAUAUAUUCUUAUGGAAUCUAAAUUUUAUAAUUGAAAACCAAAAAUAACGAUGAUAUAAAAGCAUUUUAUAGUUGCAUGAUCACUUUGUUGAUUCUAAAACAUAAUACCUGGAAAUAAUAUAGACUGACAAUAAUUUUGGAAGAUAAUUCGUUUACUUUUGGGCGAAUUAGAGUUGUGCAGAUUAAACUUAACCCCCAAUAUAAAACACUAUGGAGUGCAUGAAAGAGAUACAAUUCCGGUUUCAAUCUGUUCUGGGAAUUCAAUGAGAGAGAGAGAGAGAGAGAGAGAGAGAGAGAGAGAGAGAGAGAGAGAGAGAUUGUUAUUAACCAAGAAACGUUUGUGAAGAAGAAUGAUGGAUAGCAAUGGAUGAUGAACACAGAUGAGGACUUUGUGCGAUGAGAUUGAGAGAGAGGUUCUCUCUAAGGAUUUGUGUCAU